CGGGGAUGACGUCAAAUCAGCACGGCCCUUACGUCCAGGGCUACACACGUGCUACAAUGGCCGAUACAGAGGGCAGCUACCUGGUGACAGGAUGACAAAUCUACCAAAGUCGGUCUCAGUUCGGAUCGGAGUCUGCAACCCGACUCCGUGAAGUUGGAUUCGCUAGUAAUCGCGCAUCAGCCAUGGCGCGGUGAAUACGUUCCCGGGCCUU
This 211-nucleotide ribosomal RNA is filed under the name uncultured Sphingobacteriales bacterium. RNAcentral describes it as "partial 16S ribosomal RNA". It matches the Rfam family "Bacterial small subunit ribosomal RNA", at positions 1174 to 1382 of the family's 1533-position model. Lineage: Bacteria; Pseudomonadati; Bacteroidota; Sphingobacteriia; Sphingobacteriales. The record is from RNAcentral.